UGGUGGAUAGGUGCAUUUGUGGUAUUUGUGGCUAAUUUCUAUUUCUUUAGGAACAGCUCUCUAUUGAAACUUUUCAGGAAAGACAUGGGCUAUCUCUUUUUUUUAACAGGGAGGCAGGCAUCUAGUACCCAUUUUUUUAAUUAUUGGGACACUUGUCCAUCUUUUAUUCCCUUUUUUCUUUUAUAUUUUUGCAUAGCCACAUGUAUCCUUUAAAUACAAUAAAUGAUCAGAGAGAUAAUACUCAAAACUUAGAGCAUUAAAGACAAGUGUUAUCCUAUAGGGUGAUUGUUGGUGUUUACACCUAGUGUAGG
RNAcentral lists this long non-coding RNA (311 nucleotides) under Sorghum bicolor (sorghum). Its description in RNAcentral is "long non-coding RNA (SBIC_LNC017478)". Lineage: Eukaryota; Viridiplantae; Streptophyta; Magnoliopsida; Poales; Poaceae. The record is from RNAcentral.